GCUUUAUUUCAGUCUGAAUUAUUUUCCUCCUCACCACUUCUGUUUCUUAUUUCAGAAAAAUAAAUGAAACCAAUCCUUAAUUUGCAAAGCUCCAUCUGUUUGUCAGGGUAUUUUGUGACCAGCAGGAGUCAAAAACAGCCCAUAGCGAUGGCAGGAGAGCAAGCAGGAGGUGACUACUGAUUCCGGGAUGCUACUUGUGGAGAUUGAGAAAACAAGCAAAUAAACAAACAAACUUGCCUAGAAACCAAAAGGUUCAGCAAAGUGGUUUUUAAAACCACAAUAAACUGCAGCCUGUGUUUCAGUAUCUCAGGGAAUGCAGGGAAAACAGGAUUGUGUUGAAGAAAAACAUAUAGAACAAAGCAGCGUUUUCCUUCUGUCACUGCACAUCCACAGGGAAGAGUAAUUUGUGGAAACA
Long non-coding RNA from Gallus gallus (chicken), 415 nucleotides. The record is from Ensembl. Lineage: Eukaryota; Metazoa; Chordata; Aves; Galliformes; Phasianidae.